Molecule: long non-coding RNA, 899 nt
Organism: Chelonia mydas (Green sea turtle)
Lineage: Eukaryota; Metazoa; Chordata; Testudines; Cheloniidae
Exons: 6
Source: RefSeq, a predicted model, not a curated record
GUUCCUUUGAUGAAGAGUGUUAAGAAGAGAGGGCGGAGGAAAGGCAUUUUGCUGUCCAGAGGAGAUCCCCAUGCCUGAGGCAGUGUGGAAGGCACCACAGUGGGAAGACAAUGCAGAGAGGCUAAGGCCUCUUCAGGAGAAGUGAGAGUCAGUUCCAGUGCUGGAGGGAGUUUUCUGGUUUGGGGACUGUAUGGCAGAUGAGUAAGGAUAAGGUUUGGCGUGUCUGGUUAUUGCUGCUCCAUGGGCUAUGCAUAGGAUGAGCCAGGAGCACUAAACUAGAGAUGAUUCCCUCUUCGAGCAUAGUCUGAGAUCUUCAGAAAGCCAUGCUAUGGUUGGUAGAGUACAUCCAAAAGCUCUUGUUUGCUGAUAGGUAAGAGGGAAAGUCCUGCAUACGACGUUGCCAGGCUUUGUGGUGUGGUGACUGCAUGGCAAGCCAGGAGCUGCAGAGAGGGUGAAACAGGAGCCACAUGGCAAGCAGGGAGCUGGAGAGAAGCCCCAGGAACCGUGGACAGAGACACAUGUGGACCAGGCCGUGACGCUUUGCAAACUGAGGCCCUAUUAGACCUGCAUGGACAGCCAGUGUUCUGAGGCAAUUUUCUUACAAGAAGGGGUUUAUUCCUGUGUCCUUGGCCAAAUUUCCCCAGUGCAGCGGGCUUUGCACUUGUUGGCUGCCACCUUCAGUGCUAGUUGAUGCUCUACUGUACACAAGAAAUACACCUUAUUCAUGCCUCGCGGAAGACACAUAAUCUGAGUGGCCUUUGCCAGUCACAAAAGGCGAACAUGCCAAAACCAAAUUUUAUUUAUGACCUUUAAACACUGGUUGCCAAAGGUGACCUUUGCCUUUUUGGCUUUAGGCUGUGUUCCAAAUCUGAUUUUUAAUAAGUCUGUUUGCAUGGAAA